RNAcentral lists this ribosomal RNA (497 nucleotides) under uncultured bacterium. RNAcentral's name for it is "partial 16S ribosomal RNA". It matches the Rfam family "Bacterial small subunit ribosomal RNA", at positions 28 to 507 of the family's 1533-position model. The record is from RNAcentral.
GAUGAACGCUGGCGGCGUGCCUAAUACAUGCAAGUCGAGCGAACAGACGAGGAUCUUGCUCCUCUGACGUUAGCGGCGGGCGGGUGAGUAACACGUGGAUAACCUACCUAUAAGACUGGGAUAACUUCGGGAAACCGGAGCUAAUACCGGAUAAUAUAUUGAACCGCAUGGUUCAAUAGUGUAAGACGGUUUUGCUGUCACUUAUAGAUGGAUCCGCGCCGCAUUAGCUAGUUGGUAAGGUAACGGCUUACCAAGGCAACGAUGCGUAGCCGACCUGAGAGAGGGAUCGGCCACACUGGAACUGAGACACGGUCCAGACUCCUACGGGAGGCAGCAGUAGGGAAUCUUCCGAAAAGGGCGAAAGCCUGACGGAGCAACGCCGCGUGAGUGAUGAAGGUAUUCGGAUCGUAAAACUCUGUUAUUAGGGAAGAACAAAUGUGUAAGUAACUAUGCAAGUAUUGACGGUACCUAAUCAGAAAGCAACGGCUAACUACGUG